Molecule: ribosomal RNA, 321 nt
Filed under: uncultured soil bacterium
Lineage: Bacteria
Description: bacterial SSU rRNA
Rfam family: Bacterial small subunit ribosomal RNA
Source: RNAcentral
AGAGUGAACGCUGGCGGUAGGCCUAACACAUGCAAGUCGAACGGCAGCACAGUGGUAGCAAUACCAUGGGUGGCGAGUGGCGGACGGGUGAGGAAUACAUCGGAAUCUACCUUUUCGUGGGGGAUAACGUAGGGAAACUUACGCUAAUACCGCAUACGCCCUUCGGGGGAAAGCCGGGGACCAGCAAUGGCCUGGCGCUGAUAGAUGAGCCGAUGUCGGAUUAGCUAGUUGGUGAGGUAAUGGCUCACCAAGGCGACGAUCCGUAGCUGGUCUGAGAGGAUGAUCAGCCACACUGGAACUGAGACACGGUCCAGACUCCGU